AUGCUUUGUCCACAUGUCACCUCUUCCUCUGCUCCCUUGGGAACCCAGGCCCAGGAGGAGUUGGCUAUCUCCAUGAUAACAAGGGAGAUGGUGGCCAUCUUUGCCCGCAUGUGCCAACAGGUUGACAAGAGCGAGAUGGAGCUUGAAACAGAGAUCCGCAGACUCAGCGCCAGGAGUGUGUCCAGAUACACUCCAAAACCCUCAGGCAUAAAGCCACUGAUCUGGAGUUACAACUGGAGUCUUUUUCAGCACAGUAUCUGCAGAAUCAACAUUAACUAGAGCAGCAAGAAACUGUGGAUGAGUAAGACUGUCCUCCAGUGUUCAGUACUGGAACAACACAAUGCCUGCUGAAUGAAAAAUUACACGGAAUCUAAAAGACUUAUAUCAGUUCAGUAUUUCAGACAGCCUCAGUAAACCAGAUUUCUUACUGACAAACACCUGCUAGUAGCAAAUUAUGUGUAGA
This 463-nucleotide long non-coding RNA is filed under the name Sinocyclocheilus grahami. Its description in RNAcentral is "lncRNA (ENSSGRG00000050253.1)". The record is from RNAcentral. Lineage: Eukaryota; Metazoa; Chordata; Actinopteri; Cypriniformes; Cyprinidae.